Molecule: ribosomal RNA, 497 nt
Filed under: uncultured bacterium
Lineage: Bacteria
Description: partial 16S ribosomal RNA
Rfam family: Bacterial small subunit ribosomal RNA
Source: RNAcentral
GAUGAACGCUGGCGGCGUGCCUAAUACAUGCAAGUCGAGCGAACGGACGCGGAGCUUGCUGCUCUGAUGUUAGCGGCGGACGGGUGAGAAACACGUGUAAAACCUACCUAUAAGACGGGGAUAUCUUCGGGAAACCGGCGCUAACACCGGAUGAUAUUUUGAACCGCAUGGGUGAAAAGUGAAAGACGGUCUUGCUGUCACGAAUAGAUGGAUCCGCGCUGCAUUAGCUGGUUGGUAAGGUAAAGGCUUACCAAGGGGACGAUGCAUAGCCGACCGGGGAGGCUGGUCGCCCGCCCUGGAGCUGAGCCACGCACCAGGCUCCUACGGGAGGCCGCAGUAGCGAAUCUUCCGCAGUGGGCGAAAGUCUUGCGGAGCGGCGCCGCGUGUGUGAUGAAGGUCCUCGGAUCGUAAUGCUCUGUUACUAGGGGAGAACCUAUGUGUAAGUAACUGUGCACAUCUUGACGGUACCUAAUCAGAAAGCCACGGCUAACUACGUG